Molecule: ribosomal RNA, 553 nt
Filed under: uncultured Nitrososphaerota archaeon
Lineage: Archaea; Thermoproteati; Nitrososphaerota
Description: bacterial SSU rRNA
Rfam family: Archaeal small subunit ribosomal RNA
Source: RNAcentral
ACGGGGUGCAGCAGGCGCGAAACCUUUGCAAUGUGCGCAAGCACGACAAGGUUAAUCCGAGUGUUUCCUGCUAAAGGAAUCUUUUGUUAGUCGUAAAACCACUGAUGAAUAAGGGGUGGGCAAGUUCUGGUGUCAGCCGCCGCGGUAAAACCAGCACCUCAAGUGGCCAGGAGGAUUAUUGGGCCUAAAGCAUCCGUAGCCGGCUCUGCAAGUUUUCGGUUAAAUCCAUUUGCUUAACAAAUGGGCUGCCGAAAAUACUACAUAGCUAGGGAGUGGGAGAGGUAGACGGUAUUCGGUAGGAAGGGGUAAAAUCCUUUGAUCUAUUGAGGACCACCUAUGGCGAAGGCAGUCUACCAGAACACGUUCGACGGUGAGGGAUGAAAGCUGGGGGAGCAAACCGGAUUAGAUACCCGGGUAGUCCCAGCUGUAAACGAUGCAGACUCGGUGAUGCGCUGGCUUGUGGCCAGUGCAGUGCCGCAGGGAAGCCGUUAAGUUUGCCGCCUGGGAAGUACGUACGCAAGUAUGAAACUUAAAGGAAUUGGCGGGGGAGCAC